ACUAUUCGCUAAAGGGUGCUCGGGAGGCUACGCCGUAAAACAAACCCAUUUCUAAGGUUGACCUCGGAUCAGGUAGGGAUACCCGCUGAACUUAAGCAUAUCAAUAAC
Molecule: ribosomal RNA, 108 nt
Filed under: Cladosporium colocasiae
Lineage: Eukaryota; Fungi; Ascomycota; Dothideomycetes; Cladosporiales; Cladosporiaceae
Description: partial 28S ribosomal RNA
Source: RNAcentral